AUGGGAGGUGGUGCAGCAGAUCACGGUAACGGCGGCAAUGGAGAUUUCAGAUACAAGGUUUGGAGUAUGACCGGUGGCCCUCACUGUCGCCCUAAACACUGGAAACGCAACACCGCCAUCGCCAUGUUCGGCGUCUUCCUUGUCUGCAUCCCAAUCUUCAAACUUUCCGCUAAACUCGAGCAACGACCACAUCACCCGGUUCGCCCAAUCCCUUCCCAAAUGUGGUGCAAGAACUUCGGAACCAAAGACUAUAAAGAAUACGAAUAA
Molecule: non-coding RNA, 267 nt
Organism: Vicia faba (fava bean)
Lineage: Eukaryota; Viridiplantae; Streptophyta; Magnoliopsida; Fabales; Fabaceae
Source: the annotation of a GenBank genome assembly